AACUAAAAAUUUCAUCUAUUUGUACAAUUAAAGAUUAGCGUGAUUAACAAAAUGAUCAGAUAGUAACAUGUGACGUGCCAUAUAUACUUUAUGCUGUCAUGAAUGGAUCAAUUUUUAACAACAUAAAUAAAUAAUUUUUUUAAUA
Molecule: microRNA precursor, 145 nt
Filed under: Gossypium arboreum
Lineage: Eukaryota; Viridiplantae; Streptophyta; Magnoliopsida; Malvales; Malvaceae
Description: MIR7502 microRNA precursor family
Rfam family: MIR7502 microRNA precursor family
Source: Rfam by way of RNAcentral